This 253-nucleotide ribosomal RNA is filed under the name uncultured bacterium. Its description in RNAcentral is "partial 16S ribosomal RNA". It matches the Rfam family "Bacterial small subunit ribosomal RNA", at positions 524 to 776 of the family's 1533-position model. The record is from RNAcentral.
UACGUAGGUGGCAAGCGUUGUCCGGAUUUACUGGGCGUAAAGAGCGCGCAGGCGGUCGUUCAAGUCGCGUGUGAAAGCCCCCGGCUCAACUGGGGAGGGUCACGCGAUACUGAUCGACUCGAAGGCAGGAGAGGGAAGUGGAAUUCCCGGUGUAGUGGUGAAAUGCGUAGAUAUCAGGAGGAACACCGGUGGCGAAGGCGGCUUGCUGGGCCUUACCUGACGCUGAGGAGCGAAAGCGUGGGGAGCGAACAGG